This 560-nucleotide ribosomal RNA is filed under the name uncultured Glomus. RNAcentral's name for it is "SSU rRNA". It matches the Rfam family "Eukaryotic small subunit ribosomal RNA", at positions 546 to 1106 of the family's 1831-position model. Lineage: Eukaryota; Fungi; Glomeromycota; Glomeromycetes; Glomerales; Glomeraceae. The record is from RNAcentral.
AAUUGGAGGGCAAGUCUGGUGCCAGCAGCCGCGGUAAUUCCAGCUCCAAUAGCGUAUAUUAAAGUUGUUGCAGCUAAAAAGCUCGUAGUUGAAUUUCGGGAUCAAUAUUUCGGUCAUGCCGUUGGUAUGCACUGUUAUCAUUGAUUUCUCACCUUCUAAAGAACCGUAAUGCCAUUAAUUUGGUGUUACGGGGAAUUAGGACUGUUACCUUGAAAAAAUUAGAGUGUUUAAAGCAGGCUCACGCUUGAAUACAUUAGCAUGGAAUAAUGAAAUAGGACAUCCGAUUCUAUUUUGUUGGUUUCUAGGAUCGAUGUAAUGAUUAAUAGGGAUAGUUGGGGGCAUUAGUAUUCAAUUGUCAGAGGUGAAAUUCUUGGAUUUAUUGAAGACUAACUACUGCGAAAGCAUUUGCCAAGGAUGUUUUCAUUAAUCAAGAACGAAAGUUAGGGGAUCGAAGACGAUCAGAUACCGUCGUAGUCUUAACCAUAAACUAUGCCGACUAGGGAUCGGAUGAUGUUAAUUUUUUAAUGACUCAUUCGGCGCCUUACGGGAAACCAAAGUGU